CUGUGCUGCCAUGACUUACUGCGUGUUUCAUCUGGAAGUCAGCAUUGGUUUGCAGCUCCGUCCUUGAUUAAGGGACUGUUUGGAAAAGAUCAUCUCUUAAGAAAAAAAGUCCAUCAAAGGCCUGACAGGAUCUGAGAGAUUCCUUCAGCUGAUGAUCUGCUGAGGGCCAGGUUUUCAGGUGGUUGAGAAGAACCUUGUUGGUACUAAAAUGUUUUUUUUUUUUUAUAAAUACUAAAGUACUAGCUAAUCAAAGUCAAAGUCCAACUAAAAAAGCUGAAAUAUCUUCAGAAAUCCUGGAGAACUGCUGCUCAGGAUCCCAUUAAACAGUUCCAGCCAAGUCUGUCUCUUCCGAUAUAAGAGACAAAAAAAAUAAUUAAGGACGACCAAAGACUUUUGCACAGUUCGCUUUAUGCACAGAAAGGAAUAAUAAAAAUGCCACAAGUGGAAAAUGUGAGUGAAGUGUCUGAGUGUGAUAUCCAAGUGUUUGGCUGAGGGUUGUGCUGCACUUAUUUUCCUUUCAGCAAAGAUGCUGUCAUCAGAACAAGCUGAGCUCCUAGACCUGGAGCUGUGUGGACGUGUUUGCAGAAACACCAUCACACAUAGAAACAGAAGCACACAGCUGCAGGCUCAUGUGACUGAUGGCUGUGAUGGAGUUUACACUCCCUCAUAUAUACUUAGUUUCAUGGAGCGACUGUAAAUUAUGCUGUUCCUUCUGUCUAGGGUUGGAUCCUGACGUACAGCAGGCUGAAGAAGUAGCUUCCACCUCAGUAGGCGACACCAGGAGAUCAACAGGUCCUUGUAGGAGCCAAAUGCAGUGCUGUGCAGCUUGCUGUCAGCACUGCCUGCUUUCUGCUUUUCUCUUCACAGGUGAUUGCAGUUGACAGGUGGGCGUCAUGCGCACCUGUGGCUCGUUUGGCAGCUCCGGGCUGGAGCUUAAAAGCAGGUUGCAGUCAGCUGGAAGACGCCAGAGUGUUAAACCGUUGUGGUAUGCUUCAGUGGGCACUAUCUCUCAACAGUUUACCUGUUCACCGCACUAACUCGUGUUUCCUGUUUCUCACUGAUCACGUCAUGCACUGGAUCACUCUCUGGACGCUCUUCCGAGUUCUGAAGUCUCAAGACAAGUCCCUAGAACUUUGUCGCUCAGAUUUUGCUCUGGCACUCUCAUCGAGCCCCCUUGGUGUUACCAAGCCGGACAAGAGUUCCCUUCUGCACCCUCCCUGGUUCCUCCAGCUGCUUACUGCCACUGCCUUCUGCUUCGGUGCUGCUUGGACCUCCGCCAAGUCCCAUCUACCCGCUCACCUGUCUCGCUCAGUCACCUGGCCCCACCUCUGAGACGAGCUCCACUGAAUACGUCUUCCGUUGCACCCCCCCAGCUAGGUUUCCUGAACCCGGCCGUAUGCGCACCCCUCGUUACAGCAGUUUCCCCUCCUCGCCCCGUUUAACCUGUUUCCUUUCUUCUGCAGAGUAUCGGUCAGGGUUCCCCGAUCACUGUUGGCCGCCAGCUCUGUGAUCCUUCCUCCCUGUGAUUUCUCGUCGAUCACUCACAUAGUGAGCCUCCAUCUCCAUGAACCUCCGUGCCUGUUAAUAAACAUCUUAAACUGCUCUCU
Long non-coding RNA from Fundulus heteroclitus (mummichog), 1607 nucleotides. RefSeq lists it as uncharacterized. The transcript is spliced from 3 exons. NCBI's taxonomy places the organism in Eukaryota, Metazoa, Chordata, Actinopteri, Cyprinodontiformes, Fundulidae. The record is from RefSeq and is a predicted model, not a curated record.